AUGCUGAUGGCACAACUCGCAUCAACGACUAGGACGCUGUCGAUGGCCGGCAGCGGUGGCCAUAAACCGGAGACCAAGAAGAGGGCGGCCCAAGGAACGGUGGAGGACGAGUACGCGGAGAAGAGGUUCAAGGCCAACUGCUGGGAGCGGUCGGAGGACGAGGAGGUGGAAGCCAUCCGGGCAAGGAGACGUGCCCGAUCAGUCGAGUUUCAGAAUUUCAUGGCCGCGGCCGACAGGGUCGAUAAGGCUGCCCGAGAUUUCCUUGAGCAUCGCAUCAGCUUGCGCGCCGCCAGCAAAACCGAUGCGACGUCACCGUGCUAG
RNAcentral lists this ribosomal RNA (321 nucleotides) under Triticum aestivum (bread wheat). RNAcentral's name for it is "partial small subunit ribosomal RNA". The record is from RNAcentral. Lineage: Eukaryota; Viridiplantae; Streptophyta; Magnoliopsida; Poales; Poaceae.